RNAcentral lists this long non-coding RNA (849 nucleotides) under Chlamydomonas reinhardtii. RNAcentral's name for it is "long non-coding RNA (CREI_LNC000754)". The record is from RNAcentral. Lineage: Eukaryota; Viridiplantae; Chlorophyta; Chlorophyceae; Chlamydomonadales; Chlamydomonadaceae.
CGCGCCAGGCCGCCAGCAGCGCGGAGGUCAGGUUGCGCACGUGGAUCCUGUUUGGGGGUGGGCGUGUGAGGGCGUGUGAGGGCGUGUGUGUGUGGCGGGGAGAGGACUGCGGGGGGAGGGGGAUGAGGGGAGUAGUGCAGGUACAAGGGGUGGCAGGAGGGGCACGUCGUGGCAUGCCGUGCAGGCUGGUUUGGCAGCUUGGCGUCGGUGUGUAAAGCUGACGUUGCCGUGUGUUGCGCACCGCUCACACCACCUUUACAGCUCCGUGCCCACCCACCCCACCCACCCACCCGCGCAUACCACCCCGGCAGCAAUCCACCCCACCACCCGCACCGCCCGGCCACCCCCACCCACCCACCAGUCUGCCAGGGCGUCGGGCGGCCCGAACCGGAAGCGCAGCCAGCCGCGCGCCGCCAGCUCCAGGAUGCGCGGCGUGUGGCGCACCUCGCCCGGGCCGUAGAUGGCGGGCGGCCGCACCGCGGUGGUCAGCAGCACGGGCGGCGGCGGCGGCGGCGGCGGGGACAGCAGAGGGGACAGCGGGGGCAGUGGCUUCUGAGAAUCCGCGGGCUGGGGCUGGGUGCGAGGCUGAUUUGGGUGUGGGGAGUGGCCGAGGCUGGAUGGGAGUGAGGGGAGCUGGGAGGGUUGGGGCGAGGGCGUGCGAGGUGGCGCCGGGGGCGUGCCGGCAUCCGUGUCGGAGUCCUCCCCCACACUGCUGGCACCGCUGCUGCUGAUGCCGCACAGGCCGCUCAAGUCGGCGCCGCUGCUACUGCCAUUGGGGAGGCCGCAUGGCCCACUACCGCAGCUACUGCCGCUGCUACUGCCGUGCGCGCACCCCGCGCCCGCGCCGGC